UGGGGAAUUUUGGACAAUGGGCGAAAGCCUGAUCCAGCCAUACCGCGUGAGUGAAGAAGGCCUUCGGGUUGUAAAGCUCUUUCGGCAGGAAAGAAAAGGACCUGGAUAACACCCGGGUCUGAUGACGGUACCUGAAGAAGAAGCACCGUCUAACUACGUGCCAGCAGCCGCGGUAAUACGUAGGGUGCGAGCGUUAAUCGGAAUUACUGGGCGUAAAGCGUGCGCAGGCGGCUUUUUAAGCCAGAUGUGAAAUCCCCGGGCUUAACCUGGGAANUGCAUUUGGAACUGGAAGGCUAGAGUGUAGCAGAGGGGGGUAGAAUUCCACGUGUAGCAGUGGAAUGCGUAGAUAUGUGGAGGAAUACCGAUGGCGAAGGCAGCCCCCCGGGUUAACACUGACGCUCAUGCACGAAAGCGUGGGGAGCAAAACAGGAUUAGAUACCCUGGUAGUCCACGCCCUAAACGAUGUCAACUAGUUGUUGGGGGGAGGAGACUUCCUUAGUAACGCAGCUAACGCGUGAAGUUGACCGCCUGGGGGAGUACGUCGCAAGAUU
This 551-nucleotide ribosomal RNA is filed under the name uncultured bacterium. Its description in RNAcentral is "partial 16S ribosomal RNA". It matches the Rfam family "Bacterial small subunit ribosomal RNA", at positions 355 to 895 of the family's 1533-position model. The record is from RNAcentral.